RNAcentral lists this ribosomal RNA (914 nucleotides) under uncultured archaeon. RNAcentral describes it as "bacterial SSU rRNA". It matches the Rfam family "Archaeal small subunit ribosomal RNA", at positions 1 to 922 of the family's 1478-position model. The record is from RNAcentral.
UUCCGGUUGAUCCUGCCGGACCUGACUGCUAUCGGAUUGAUACUAAGCCAUGCGAGUCAUUGUAGCAAUACAAGGCAGACGGCUCAGUAACGCGUAGUCAACCUACCCUAUGGACGGGAAUAACCUCGGGAAACUGAGUAUAAUGCCCGAUAGAACACUAUGCCUGGAAUGGUUUGUGUUCCAAAUGAUUUAUCGCCAUAGGAUGGGACUGCGGCCUAUCAGUUUGUUGGUGAGGUAAUGGCCCACCAAGACUAUUACAGGUACGGGCUCUGAGAGGAGUGGCCCGGAGAUGGGUACUGAGACACGGACCCAGGCCCUAUGGGGCGCAGCAGGCGAGAAAACUUUGCAAUGUGCGAAAGCACGACAAGGUUAAUCCGAGUGGUUUGUGCUAAACGAACCUUUUGUCAGUCCUAGAAACACUAACGAAUAAGGGGUGGGCAAGUUCUGGUGUCAGCCGCCGCGGUAAAACCAGCACCUCAAGUGGUCAGGAUGAUUAUUGGGCCUAAAGCAUCCGUAGCCGGCUCUGUAAGUUUUCGGUUAAAUCUGUACGCUUAACGUACAGGCUGCCGGGAAUACUGCAGAGCUAGGGAGUGGGAGAGGUAGACGGUACUCGGUAGGAAGGGGUAAAAUCCUUUGAUCUAUUGAUGACCACCUGUGGCGAAGGCGGUCUACCAGAACACGUCCGACGGUGAGGGAUGAAAGCUGGGGGAGCAAACCGGAUUAGAUACCCGGGUAGUCCCAGCUGUAAACUAUGCAAACUCAGUGAUGCAUUGACUUGUGGUCAAUGCAGUGCUGCAGGGAAGCCGUUAAGUUUGCCGCCUGGGAAGUACGUACGCAAGUAUGAAACUUAAAGGAAUUGGCGGGGGAGCACCACAAGGGGUGAAGCCUGCGGUUCAAUUGGAAUCAACGCCGGA